This 373-nucleotide ribosomal RNA is filed under the name uncultured bacterium. Its description in RNAcentral is "bacterial SSU rRNA". It matches the Rfam family "Bacterial small subunit ribosomal RNA", at positions 525 to 896 of the family's 1533-position model. The record is from RNAcentral.
ACGUAGGGGGCAAGCGUUGUCCGGAUUUAUUGGGCGUAAAGAGCGUGUAGGCGGCCGCACAGGUCCGUUGUGAAAACUGGAGGCUUAACCUUCAGACGUCGAUGGAAACCGUGCGGCUAGAGUCCGGAAGAGGAGAAUGGAAUUCCUGGUGUAGCGGUGAAAUGCGCAGAUAUCAGGAAGAACACCCGUGGCUAAGGCGGUUCUCUAGUACGGUACUGACGCUGAGACGCGAAAGCGUGGGGAGCGAACAGGAUUAGAUACCCUGGUAGUCCACGCCGUAAACGAUGGGUGCUAGGUGUGGGGGGUGUCGACUCCCCCCGUGCCGAAGCUAACGCAUUAAGCACCCCGCCUGGGGAGUACGGCCGCAAGGCUA